RNAcentral lists this small RNA (569 nucleotides) under Pan troglodytes (chimpanzee). RNAcentral describes it as "processed transcript". Lineage: Eukaryota; Metazoa; Chordata; Mammalia; Primates; Hominidae. The record is from RNAcentral.
AUCCGCAAAGGUUCACUGAGGCCCCGAGCCCCAGCCACUGAGCCACCAAGUCAGCCUGGGCCAGGCCUGGGUGCCCUGUCUGCAAUGGAGGCAGAGACGGGGUCUCGGGGCAGUUCUGAGGAUGCUGGGUACACAGCGGGGGCCUCACCGGCAGGAAUCGCUUAUGCUCUCUCCUGGGCCAAGCUUUGUGGAUGCCCAGCCUGGGGCCGCGGGGAGCUGGCAGGUCAGUGGCAGACACUGGUGGGCAGACCUAGUGUCUGGUAGAACAGGCAUCAAGGAAGUGGUGACCGGAGGGAAGCCAAGUGCACUCAAACCCUCGGGUGUUGUGACUGCAGUGCCUCCCUGUCGCACCAGUACUAUGAGAAGGAUGGGCAGCUCUUCUGCAAGAAGGACUACUGGGCCCGCUAUGGCGAGUCCUGCCAUGGGUGCUCUGAGCAAAUCACCAAGGGACUGGUUAUGGUGGCUGGGGAGCUGAAGUACCACCCCGAGUGUUUCAUCUGCCUCACGUGUGGGACCUUUAUCGGUGACGGGGACACCUACACGCUGGUGGAGCACUCCAAGCUGUACUG